Molecule: ribosomal RNA, 306 nt
Filed under: Triticum aestivum (bread wheat)
Lineage: Eukaryota; Viridiplantae; Streptophyta; Magnoliopsida; Poales; Poaceae
Description: partial small subunit ribosomal RNA
Source: RNAcentral
AUGGAAUAUUACCAAGCACCCUCCACUAUUUCGGAUAGUAUUUAUGGUUCUACCUUUUUAUUAGCAACUGGCUUUCAUGGUUUUCAUGUGAUUAUAGGUACUCUUUUCUUGAUCGUAUGUGGUAUUUGCCAAUAUCUUGGUUAUCUGACCAAGAAGCAUCACGUUGGCUUUGAAGCAGCUGCAUGGUGCCUGGUGCUUGCCCCUCCUGUAGUGUUUUCAGUGCCUAAAAUCCUCAAAUAUUCCAGAAAAAACCAUACUAAAUUUGCAGGGCAUUUGGAGCACUUUUAUUUUCGGACUAUUUUUUAA